UACAGAGGUCUCGAGCGUUAGGCGGAAUCACUGGGCUUAAAGCGCGUGUAGGCGGCUUUGCAAGUCGGGUGUGAAAUCCCUCGGCUCAACCGAGGAAGUGCGCCCGAAACUGCAGAGCUUGAGUACCGGAGAGGAUGGCGGAAUUCCCCAAGUAGAGGUGAAAUUCGUAGAUAUGGGGAGGAACACCGGUGGCGAAGGCGGCCAUCUGGACGGAUACUGACGCUGAGACGCGAAAGCGUGGGGAGCAAACAGG
RNAcentral lists this ribosomal RNA (253 nucleotides) under uncultured bacterium. Its description in RNAcentral is "partial 16S ribosomal RNA". It matches the Rfam family "Bacterial small subunit ribosomal RNA", at positions 524 to 776 of the family's 1533-position model. The record is from RNAcentral.